UCUCGAGCGUUGUUCGGAUUCAUUGGGCGUAAAGGGUGCGUAGGUGGCUAGGUAAGUCGGAUGUGAAAUCCCGGGGCUCAACCCCGGAACUGCAUUCGAUACUGCCUGGCUAGAGUACUGGAGAGGAGAUUGGAAUUUACGGUGUAGCAGUGAAAUGCGUAGAUAUCGUAAGGAAGACCAGUGGCGAAGGCGGAUCUCUGGACAGUUACUGACACUGAGGCACGAAGGCCAGGGGAGCAAACGGG
This 245-nucleotide ribosomal RNA is filed under the name uncultured bacterium. RNAcentral describes it as "partial 16S ribosomal RNA". It matches the Rfam family "Bacterial small subunit ribosomal RNA", at positions 532 to 776 of the family's 1533-position model. The record is from RNAcentral.